Molecule: non-coding RNA, 109 nt
Organism: Acanthosepion pharaonis
Lineage: Eukaryota; Metazoa; Mollusca; Cephalopoda; Sepiida; Sepiidae
Source: the annotation of a GenBank genome assembly
UUACGGGCAUAUCACGUUGAAACACAGGUUGUCAACCAAUCACCGAAGUUAAGCAAAGUUGAACCAGGUCGGUACCAAGAUGGGUGACCGCUUGAGAAUACCAGGUGAU